RNAcentral lists this long non-coding RNA (2833 nucleotides) under Haliotis rubra (blacklip abalone). RNAcentral's name for it is "uncharacterized LOC124260277". The record is from RNAcentral. Lineage: Eukaryota; Metazoa; Mollusca; Gastropoda; Lepetellida; Haliotidae.
UUACAAUACAUCAGUUCAUGUGUAAACAGUAUGGAAUAUUUUGCAAAAUCUAAUUUAGAACAGUUGACUAAGAAAGUGGCUACAUUUACACAAGUGAGUCUAAAGUUUUGAUGGGUAGUAUAGAUCAUAGAAAUUGAUUAUCGACAAAUAUCGUAGGCGUAACUUUGAGCAAAGUUGCUAAAUAUGUCUAAGAGAAAUAAAUAUAUUUGACAUCAGAGGUGAGAGGUGACAUGUUUAUCCAUGGGUUGCUGACACAACAUUAUCCUGAACAUGAUGUAGACGUAGACCAUAAAUAAAAUCCUAAAACUGAACAUUGUGUGAGAAAAUUAAACCUUUUUUCUUUCACAAAAGUUCGUGUACGAUAUCGAUAACACAAUUUUAAUAUUGGUGAUCAUUAAUAAGUUUUUCUAUCGAUGAUAUUUCUGAUUAUCGAUCAUUUUAGCCAGCCCUAUGUACUUGGUGGUGAAAUGAAUUGACGGGUCAGUGACCAAUGCCCCUACGGCAUGGAUGUUUGCUAUAUAAAUAACUAUUAUAGUUAAAUCACUGAAUUGUCUGGCCCAGACUUGAUUAUUUGCAUGAUCUCAUCAUAGUAUUGAUAACAUUGAUCUGAGUGGGAAAAAUCUGGAAUUAAAACCUGUAAGCAAUGUAAAGUCUUUGAUUUGAUGUACAUGAAGUGAUGAAGUAUAUGUGGAUGUCAAAUAUUGGGAUUACAUUUUCUCGUAAAGUACAGACUCUAGUACUGUGGAUGGGUUGAGUCUCAUCGGUGAUUUGAACCUACACCCUCAAAGUCAGGCACCUAAUCGCCAGCACACAGAGUCAGCCGUCUAACCCAUGUGGAUGCUGCGGUGGCUGAGUGGGUUAGACGGCUGACUUUGUGUGCUGGUGACUGAGAGUGUGUGUUUGAAUCCCGGAUGAUACCCAACCCAACAUAAGUACUAGAAUCUGUACUUUACCGAGAAAGUUUAAUCCCAAAUAACACAUGCAUUUAGUGAAGGUAGUCUGGCUACAGACACAUUAAUAUUGGUUUUCCAAGUGUGUAAUCAGAUGUAUUCUAGAAUUUGCGCUUUUUUCAACAUUAGAGAUUGGAUACAUUUUUCUGAUCCGUCAUCCUGCUUGGCCAUAGACGUGUGAGCAUGACAACGAGUAAACAACACGGCAACGUUGGUUACAUUUAUUGCUUGGCUAUUCUUUGCAGCAGUCUUGAUAUUUUAUCUCUGUUUGAAAUAAAUGAACAAAAGUUCAGAUCUUGUACAAUUAUAAGAGUUUUUAAAUACAAAAUUGUGAUUUUUUUGUAAAUAUUUGGUUAUGAUUAGUGUGUCACUUAGUGUAAAUAAAAAGGGUAAAAUAUGUAUAUUUCAAAUUGUCUGGAUCUAGCAUAUAUGUCAGACAAGACGUCAGCAGAAUCUUUGAUGCAUCAUUUCAAUUUGAGAAGAAAAAAUUGAAAAAGAUCCUAAAUAUAUUUUUCUUUAGUUGAUAUAACCGAUAUAUAGUACAUGUCCCCUGCAUCCGGUUAUGUGUGUGUCAGUCUUCCUCCCAGUGAUGGGAACUGUCAGACAACUUUUGUCAUGUUUUCAAUUUGAAGGUUGUCAGUAUUCGUGAAGAAAAUAUAAGUUACAAUGUCAAUCAGAAAAUAUUUCUGUGUAAACUGGUACAUGUAUAUAUUGUUGACAUGUUAUGUAUGAUGCGUGUAUUCUCAACAGUGGGGCGGGUGGGGUAGCCUAGUGGUUAAAGCGUUCGCUCAUCACACUGAAGACCUAGGUUCGAUUCCCCAGAUGGGUACAGUGUGUGAAGCCCUUUUCUGGUGUCCCCCACGAACAUUGCUGGAAUAUUGCUAAAAGCUGCGUAAAACCAUACUCACUCACUCACUCUAAACAGUGAUUGUUAGUGGCGAGGAUGCAGGUGAAGGUGUGAGUUAUGUGUCAGUAGUGGUCUGGACAAUAGUUUCAGUGAUUGUUAGUGGCGAGGAUGCAGGUGAAGGUGUGAGUUAUGUGGUAGUAGUGGUCUGGACAAUAGUUUCAGUGAUUGUUAGUGGCGAGGAUGCAGGUGAAGGUGUGAGUUAUGUGUCAGUAGUGGUCUGGACAAUAGUUUCAGUGAUUGUUAAUAGCGAGGAUGCAGGUGAAGGUGUGAGUUAUGUGAUAGAAGUGGUGUGGACAAUAGUUUCAGUGAUUGUUAGUGGCGAGGAUGCAGGUGAAGGUGUGAGUUAUGUGAUAGAAGUGGUGUGGACAAUAGUUUCAGUGAUUGUUAGUGGCGAGGAUGCAGGUGAAGGUGUGAGUUAUGUGAUAGAAGUGGUGUGGACAAUAGUUUCAGUGAUUGUUAGUGGCGAAGGAUGCAGGUGAAGGUGUGAGUUAUGUGAUAGAAGUGGUGUGGACAAUAGUUUCUGAAGAUAAGGUGAUGCAGGUGAAUAUGUACAGUGAUAGAAACCUUGUGGUUGAGGUUUGAUCACGCCCAGACCUUGGUUUGAUACCCCUCAUGUCUGGUGUACCCUGAGAGUGAUAUUAGAGUGGUAAGGUGGGGUACUUUUACAGUGUAUGUUAUUUGUCACCAAUCUGUGUGUGAAAUCAACCAAAACCCAGCCAGACAUCUGCGCUGGUAACUUCAAAAACUUACCAGCCCAUAAGAGAUUUAACCAGUCCUUUUUAAAUACUAAAUAGACAGUGCCAGUGGAUACGUUAUCUGAAUAAUAUUUUUCACCCAUCUAUCGGGCUGGCUAGCUGUAAAACUAGACUGUCCGGCAGAAAUCUAGCCCGUCUCGGGCGGUCAGACGGGCCUUAUUUCAUACACUGCCAAUCUUAUUAAUCAUUGUUUGUACAAUACACUUCAUUUUGAAAUUGCA